GGAAUACAAAAAAAUGCUGGCAAAGGUGGAAUACAGAGGACUCCAAAAAUACAUCAAAGUUCCACAAAGUGAUGGAAACUUUGAUUUCCUCCAGUUUCUUCAAGAAGUAACAAACAAAUUCAGUCUGCAGGCUCAUCUUCUAACUGAAGGUGAGCUUAGACUGAAUGAUGAGUCUGGUACUGAGAUCGACGCAGAUGUGUUUGAUGAGCUCUUAAAGUCAGGGGUCCGAAAGUUUAAGGUUGUAUACCAUCAGUAUGUAGCUACAGCUCCUCUGGUCCCUGGAUGAAGCCUGAAAAUAACACUUUGUUGAAGACAGACAGCACAUGGGGACUGUGUGUUUACUGUCCUGGGUCUGUGCUAAAGGCUUCCACUGGGAGUGAACACUCUUGGGCUUUUCAGUUCAUGACACAAUUUUGUACGCCCUUUUGACUAUGACGCCUCUUACUUUGUUAAUUCUUCUCUCCUGUGUUAUGUGUUAAAUGGUCCAGUAUAAUACAAUUCCACUGAUUAAUUUCCAAAUGUUGAAGACUCUAAAAUAUUUCCCCUUAAAAGAAAAUAUAUUUAGCAAAACUGAGAACGGCCGUGUACAUUUUUACCAUGUGUCAACUUCUAUUGUUCCAAUGCACACUUUUUCUAUUUUUUUUAUAUUCUUUUUUGUGUGUUUUCAUGCUAAGUUCUAAAAAAAAUGAUGGUGACUUGUCAUUUUUCAUCACCCAAAAAACACCAGACAUUGGAACUAUGCAAUAUUUAUCAUAGGAAAUUAUUUUCCUAUGAUUUUCCUAAGUCACUUUGAAUCAAUUCCGGUUCUAAAAUAGAGAGCUGCAAGGCUCAGUCCAAGGCCAAAGUACUACAAUUGCUACAUCAGUGGUUACAAAUGGCCCCCUUAUACCUUGCCUCAUAUACCAGCUUCACAGGCCUAGACGUUGCCAUGUUUUUUCUAAUAUUUACAUGACUCACAUUUACACCACUUUUUCGUUAGGCCCAUACAUAAAUCACUUUCUCAAAGUAAGAAAUACAGCUUGAGCUUCUCUGGUAGAGGCAUGAUACUUAUUCCAAAGUAGCAGCUAAAACCCAAAAGAGACAGAGCGCCCCCAGUCAAUGUCCCAUGACUCUGGAACAACCUGUUGAAGGAGAUCAUGUGUUCUAGUUCAGUUUCUUAUCAGCCAGUUCUUAUCCCUGGGGUGUCAAAUACCAACACCUACCAAACCCUCAGCAUAUCAUACUGAUACACUAUGGUAACUCUCAGCAUGUGCAUAAGCUGCACUGUUCUUUCAACUAAAUGUAAUGCAACUCCCAGUAGUAUUUCAUGCAGCCCUUUGCAAAAUAGAAACAAGGCUGCGAAUGUGCAGUUGGGGUGGAGAUGAACUAAAGAACACCAGGGGACUGUACAUAGUUGUUAAACCAACGGUCUAUGGUGUAUUGUUGGUUAUUGUCUAAACCUGUCCCAAGAUGUUUCAAUGAACUACAAAGACUUUUUUUUUCCAGGAAGUAACAGAAAACCUAGUAAACAGACAGUUGAAUGCAAACAAUGUAUUUUACUUUAAGCUAAUGAAUGACACUCCAAAGGGUUGUUCAUUUUUGACCUGGAAUGAUUAAAAAAGGGAUUUGAAAACCC
Molecule: long non-coding RNA, 1615 nt
Organism: Notolabrus celidotus (New Zealand spotty)
Lineage: Eukaryota; Metazoa; Chordata; Actinopteri; Labriformes; Labridae
Exons: 3
Source: RefSeq, a predicted model, not a curated record